This 625-nucleotide ribosomal RNA is filed under the name uncultured ciliate. RNAcentral describes it as "SSU rRNA". It matches the Rfam family "Eukaryotic small subunit ribosomal RNA", at positions 330 to 972 of the family's 1831-position model. The record is from RNAcentral. Lineage: Eukaryota; Ciliophora.
AGUGUAUUGGACAACCAUGGCGUUCACGGGUAACGGAGGAUUAGAGUUCGAUUCCGGAGAGGGAGCCUGAGAAACGGCUACCACAUCUAAGGAAGGCAGCAGGCGCGUAAAUUACCCAAUCCUGACUCAGGGAGGUAGUGACAAGAUAUAACAACGCGACUAAAAAUCGCGAUUGUAGUGAGGGUAUUCCAAACCGAACCACUAGUACGAUUGGAGGGCAAGUCUGGUGCCAGCAGCCGCGGUAAUUCCAGCUCCAAUAGCGUAUAUUAAAGUUGUUGCAGUUAAAAAGCUCGUAGUUGGAUUUCUGGGAGGGCGCCAAUGUCCGCUCGUUCGCGUGUGCAGCGGCGCCCUUCCAUCCUUCUGUUAACGUUUCUUGGUAUUCAGUUACUGGUUUCGGGCUCAGAUAUUUUACCUUGAGAAAAUUAGAGUGUUCCAGGCAGGCUUGCGCCGGAAUACAUUAGCAUGGAAUAAUAGAAUAGGACUUUAGUCUCCUUUGUUGGUUUGAGGGACUGAAGUAAUGAUUAAUAGGGAUAGUUGGGGGCAUUAGUAUUUAAUUGUCAGAGGUGAAAUUCUCGGAUUUGUUAAAGACUAACUUAUGCGAAAGCAUUUGCCAAGGAUGUUUUCA